AACCAUUCUCACCUGCGGCUAGACCUGCGGAGGGAUCAUUACUGAGUGAGGGCCUUCGGGCUCGACCUCCAACCCUUUGUGAACACAACUUGUUGCUUCGGGGGCGACCCUGCCGUUUCGACGGCGAGCGCCCCCGGAGGCCUUCAAACACUGCAUCUUUGCGUCGGAGUUUAAGUAAAUUAAACAAAACUUUCAACAACGGAUCU
This 206-nucleotide unclassified non-coding RNA is filed under the name soil metagenome. Its description in RNAcentral is "partial contains 5.8S ribosomal RNA, internal transcribed spacer 2, and large subunit ribosomal RNA". The record is from RNAcentral.